CAACUAUACUGUGAAACUGCGAAUGGCUCAUUAAAUCAGUUAUCGUUUAUUUGAUCAUAACCUUCUACAUGGAAUACCUGUGGAAAAUCUAGAGCUAAUACAUGCUAAAGCCCCAACUUCGGAAGGGGUGUGUUUAUUAGAUAAAAAGCCAAUGCCCUUCGGGGCUCCUUGGUGAUUCAUGAUAACCUUUCUGAUCGCAAAGUGGCCUUUGCGCCUGCGACGGUUCAUUCAAAUUUCUGCCCUAUCAACUUUCGAUGGUACGGUAGUGGCCUACCAUGGUGUCAACGGGUAACGGGGAAUUAGGGUUCGAUUCCGGAGAGGGAGCCUGAGAAACGGCUACCACAUCCAAGGAAGGCAGCAGGCGCGCAAAUUACACAAUGUCGACUCGACGAUGUAGUGACAAUAAAUACUGAUACAGGGCUCUUUUGGGUCUUGUAAUUGGAAUGAGUACAAUUUAAACCUCUUAACGAGGAACAAUUAGAGGGCAAGUCUGGUGCCAGCAGCCGCGGUAAUUCCAGCUCUAAUAGCGUAUAUUAAAGUUGUUGCAGUUAAAAAGCUCGUAGUUGAACCUUUGGCUUGGCGAGCACGUCCGCCUCACCGCGUGCACGUGACCCGCCGAGCCUUUUCUUCUGGAGAACCGCAUGCCCUUCACUGGGUGUGUUGGGGACCAGGACUUUUACUUUGAAAAAAUUAGAGUGUUCAAAGCAGGCCUUUGCUCGAAUACGUUAGCAUGGAAUAAUGGAAUAGGACGUGCGGUCCUAUUUUGUUGGUUUCUAGGACCGCCGUAAUGAUUAAUAGGGACAGUCGGGGGCAUCAGUAUUCAAUUGUCAGAGGUGAAAUUCUUGGAUUUAUUGAAGACUAACUACUGCGAAAGCAUUUGCCAAGGAUGUUUUCAUUAAUCAGUGAACGAAAGUUAGGGGAUCGAAAACAAUCAAAUACCGUCGUAGUCUUAACCAUAAACUAUGCCACCUGGGGAUCGGACGGUGUUUCUAUUGGGACCCGUUCGGCACCCUACGAGA
This 1019-nucleotide ribosomal RNA is filed under the name Tremateia phragmitis. RNAcentral's name for it is "SSU rRNA". It matches the Rfam family "Eukaryotic small subunit ribosomal RNA", at positions 70 to 1095 of the family's 1831-position model. The record is from RNAcentral. Lineage: Eukaryota; Fungi; Ascomycota; Dothideomycetes; Pleosporales; Didymosphaeriaceae.